UGGUUAUUUAUUUUCGCUGACUCGACACUGGUCGUGUUUUCUCGGCACCAAUUCAGCAUCAGCGUGAAACCAAUUAAACCGCACCCAGUCAGACUCCAGUAUGAGACCUGAGGGACGGACUGGAUCCACACUGGAGAACCAGUAAGGAGGAGCGCGGAACGGGGACAGUCGACCGCAGCUAGGCUGUGGACUCAGUGACCAUGUGGGAGAAAACGCUGCUGCUGCUGCUGCUGCUGCUGCUGCACCUGCACCGUGUGGAAGCACCAGCGUCCUGCACCCAACGGUGAUGUCACAAUGUACCGACACACCUACGUCUCUGCACUGAGGAGGGAAGUGAAACUGCUGCAAAAACAAGAUUCUCAGUUUUUGUAAAUUGCUCUUUAAGGAAGAACUUAACACUUCCUGUAAAUCUUCCAGAGCUUCGCACCUUUCUGCUGUCAUGUACAGGUGUACAGCAGUACCCGGUGACAUCACUGUUGUGUUUCAGCGUCUUAAAGACUUUACUGUUUUUUUUAUGAUUGUAAAGUGAUUGGUUGGUUGCUUGCUUUACUGAGACCACAGGUCAGAAUGAAAUGUUACUUGGUUUGAAAAUGACUUUAAUGACUAAAAACAAAAAAGUCGUUAUUGUGUGAAUCAACCAUCUGAUUAAUUGUCUGAGCUCUAACUGAAAAAGCUUUAUCCUCUGUCCUUUAUCACAAAGUCAGCAGAAUCACUGUUUUGUUGCAGCUGUAGUGGCGUCUCAGUGCUGGCAGGGGGCGACCUUCUCUGAGGCGGUGGUGUCUCCGGCAGUGGAGAGCAGCGGUAUCCUGCGGG
Molecule: long non-coding RNA, 813 nt
Organism: Toxotes jaculatrix (banded archerfish)
Lineage: Eukaryota; Metazoa; Chordata; Actinopteri; Toxotidae
Exons: 3
Source: RefSeq, a predicted model, not a curated record